RNAcentral lists this transfer RNA (81 nucleotides) under Paragonimus heterotremus. RNAcentral describes it as "tRNA-Tyr". It matches the Rfam family "tRNA". From Rfam's summary of the family: Transfer RNA (tRNA) molecules are approximately 80 nucleotides in length. Their secondary structure includes four short double-helical elements and three loops (D, anti-codon, and T loops). Further hydrogen bonds mediate the characteristic L-shaped molecular structure. tRNAs have two regions of fundamental functional importance: the anti-codon, which is responsible for specific mRNA codon recognition, and the 3' end, to which the tRNAs corresponding amino acid is attached (by aminoacyl-tRNA synthetases). tRNAs cope with the degeneracy of the genetic code in two manners: having more than one tRNA (with a specific anti-codon) for a particular amino acid; and 'wobble' base-pairing, i.e. permitting non-standard base-pairing at the 3rd anti-codon position. The record is from RNAcentral. Lineage: Eukaryota; Metazoa; Platyhelminthes; Trematoda; Plagiorchiida; Troglotrematidae.
GGCUUCAUUGCUCAGAUGAUAGAGCGCUUGCCGCGUAAAGGCAUGGUGUUUCUGUCGCUGGUUUGAAUCCAGCCGAAGCCC